Molecule: ribosomal RNA, 2080 nt
Filed under: gut metagenome
Description: bacterial LSU rRNA
Rfam family: Bacterial large subunit ribosomal RNA
Source: RNAcentral
GAAAGUAAGCAAGGGCAGACGGUGGAUGCCUUGGCUCUCGGAGGCGACGAAGGACGUGAUAAGCUGCGAAAAGCCCGGGGGAGGCGCAAAUAGCCGUUGAUCCCGGGAUAUCCGAAUGGGGCAACCCGGCAGGCUGAAGGCCUGUCAUCCCGAAAGGGAGGCGAACGUGGGGAACUGAAACAUCUAAGUACCCAUAGGAGGAGAAAAUAAACAAUGAUUCCGUAAGUAGUGGCGAGCGAACACGGAAGAGCCCAAACCCAUGUCGUCUAGGCGACACGGGGGUUGUAGGACCACGACGUGGCAAGAAGGAAGGGAAAUGGAACGCCUUGGAAAAGUCGGCCAUAGACGGUGAAAGCCCGGUACAUGACUCCCUUACGAAGCCUAGUGGUAUCCUGAGUAGCGCGGGGCACGAGAAAUCUUGCGUGAAGCAGCGGGGCCCAUCCCGUAAGGCUAAAUACUCCCGAGAGACCGAUAGCGAACCAGUACCGUGAGGGAAAGGUGAAAAGAACCCCGAGCAGGGGAGUGAAAUAGACCCUGAACCCGUCUGCCUACAAGCGGUCGGAGCGUCGUAAUGACGUGACGGCGUGCCUUUUGCAUAAUGAACCUACGAGUUACCUUCCCCGGCAAGGUUAAGUACCUAAGGUACGGAGCCGAAGCGAAAGCGAGUCUGAACAGGGCGCCAAGUCGGGGGGGGUAGACGCGAAACCGAGUGAUCUACCCUUGGCCAGGUUGAAGGUUGGGUAACACCAACUGGAGGACCGGAUGGGUAAGCGUUGAAAAGCUUUCCAAUGAGCUGAGGGUAGGGGUGAAAGGCUAAUCAAACUCGGAGAUAGCUCGUACUCCCCGAAAUGCAUUUAGGUGCAGCCUCUUUAUAGUAUAUCGUGAGGUAGAGCGACUGAUUGGAUGCGAGGGCUUCACCGCCUAUCAAGUCCAGAUAAACUCCGAAUGCGCGAUAUAUAUUUACAGGGAGUGAGGGCGCGGGUGCUAAGGUCCGUGUCCGAGAGGAGAAGAAUCCAGACCACCGGCUAAGGCCCCCAAAUGAUCGUUAAGUUGAACUAACGAGGUCGGAUCGCAGAGACAGCUAGGAUGUUGGCUUGGAAGCAGCCAUUCAUUUAAAGAGUGCGUAACAGCUCACUAGUCGAGCGAUCUGGCGUGGAUAAUAAUCGGGCAUAAACGAUCUGCCGAAGCCGUGGAUGUCGCAAGACAUGGUAGGGGAGCAUUCCAUGCCGCGUCGAAGAUGAGGGAUGACCCUUGUUGGAGCGCAUGGAAAAGCAAAUGUAGGUAUGAGUAACGAUAAGGGGGGCGAGAAACCCCCCCGCCGAAAGACCAAGGUUUCCUGAUCAACGCUAAUCGGAUCAGGGUGAGUCGGGACCUAAGGCAAAGCCGAACGGCGCCGCCGAUGGAAGAAUGGGUUAAUAUUCCCAUACUGCCUCAUGGAGUGACGUGGAGACGGAGAAGUGACAGUCCUGCCGGCUGACGGAAUAGCCGGUUGAAGGGUGUAGAUAUUGAUUCCCGUAGGCAAAUCCGCGGGGAGAGUCGAACCUGAGAGUAUACGGAGCGCUUGCGCAACGUAAUAUGGACGUAACCAUGCUCCCGAGAAAAUCCGCUAAACUUAUCCAUGCGGCACCCGUACCGUAAACGGACACACGUGGUCGGGUUGAGAAUACUGAGGCGCUCGAGUGAUUCACGGUUAAGGAACUAGGCAAAUUGACCCUGUAACUUCGGGAUAAAGGGUCCUCGUCGUAAGGCGAGGCGCAGAGAAUAGGUCCAGGCAACUGUUUAACAAAAACACAUGGCUGUGCUAAAUGGAAACAUGAUGUAUACAGCCUGACACCUGCCCGGUGCCGGAAGGUUAAGAGGAGAUGUCAUCCGCGAGGAGAAGCGUUGAAUUGAAGCCCCGGUAAACGGCGGCCGUAACUAUAACGGUCCUAAGGUAGCGAAAUUCCUUGUCGGGUAAGUUCCGACCUGCACGAAUGGUGUAAUGAUCUGGACACUGUCUCAACCGUGAGCUCGGUGAAAUUGUAGUAUCGGUGAAGAUGCCGAUUACCCGCGAUGGGACGAAAAGACCCCGUGAACCUUU